Molecule: ribosomal RNA, 121 nt
Filed under: Rhizoctonia sp. RM00
Lineage: Eukaryota; Fungi; Basidiomycota; Agaricomycetes; Cantharellales; Ceratobasidiaceae
Description: partial 28S ribosomal RNA
Source: RNAcentral
GCCAGGAAAUACAGAUGAACCGCUUCUAAUAGUCUAUUAAAUUAGACAAUUAAUUUUAAGAUCUGAUCUCAAAUCRGGUAGGACUACCCGCUGAWCUUAMSCAUAUCAAUAAGCGAARAAA